This 429-nucleotide ribosomal RNA is filed under the name Pseudomonadota bacterium. Its description in RNAcentral is "Proteobacteria bacterium partial 16S ribosomal RNA". It matches the Rfam family "Bacterial small subunit ribosomal RNA", at positions 355 to 776 of the family's 1533-position model. The record is from RNAcentral. Lineage: Bacteria; Pseudomonadati; Pseudomonadota.
UAGGGAAUAUUGGACAAUGGGUGAAAGCCUGAUCCAGCCAUGCCGCGUGUGUGAAGAAGGUCUUCGGAUUGUAAAGCACUUUAAGUUGGGAGGAAGGGCAGUAAGCGAAUACCUUGCUGUUUUGACGUUACCGACAGAAUAAGCACCGGCUAACUCUGUGCCAGCAGCCGCGGUAAUACAGAGGGUGCAAGCGUUAAUCGGAAUUACUGGGCGUAAAGCGCGCGUAGGUGGUUCGUUAAGUUGAAUGUGAAAGCCCCGGGCUCAACCUGGGAACUGCAUCCAAAACUGGCGAGCUAGAGUAGGGCAGAGGGUGGUGGAAUUUCCUGUGUAGCGGUGAAAUGCGUAGAUAUAGGAAGGAACACCAGUGGCGAAGGCGACCACCUGGGCUCAUACUGACACUGAGGUGCGAAAGCGUGGGGAGCAAACAGG